This 253-nucleotide ribosomal RNA is filed under the name uncultured bacterium. RNAcentral describes it as "partial 16S ribosomal RNA". It matches the Rfam family "Bacterial small subunit ribosomal RNA", at positions 524 to 776 of the family's 1533-position model. The record is from RNAcentral.
UACGAAGGGGGCUAGCGUUGUUCGUAAUUACUGGGCGUAAAGCGCGCGCAGGCGGUCUUUCAAGUCAGUGGUGAAAGCCUGGAGCUCAACUCCAGAACUGCCAUUGAAACUGCAAGACUUGAGUACGAGAGAGGUGAGUGGAAUUCCCAGUGUAGAGGUGAAAUUCGUAGAUAUUGGGAAGAACACCAGUGGCGAAGGCGGCUCACUGGCUCGUAACUGACGCUUAGGUACGAAAGUGUGGUGAGCAAACAGG